AUUGAACGCUGGCGGCAGGCCUAACACAUGCAAGUCGAGCGAGCGGCGGACGGGUGAGCAAUGUAUGGGGACUGCCCGAUAGAGGGGGAGAACUACUGGAAACGGUAGAUACUACCGCAUACUAUCGGAUAACCCAUAUGGGAUUAGCUAGUAGGUGAGGUAAUUGCUCACCUAGGCGAUGAGACCUAGCUGAUCUGAGAGGAUGAUCAGCCACACUGGGACGGAGAAACGGCCCAGACUCCUACGGAGGCAGCAGUGGGGAAUAUUGCACCAUGGGCGCAAUCCUGAUGCAGCCAUGCCGCGUGUAUGAAGAAGGCCCUAGGGUUGUAAAGUACUUUCAGUCGAGAGGCGUUACCGACAGAAGAAGCACCGGCUAACUCCGUGCCAGCAGCCGCGGUAAUAC
This 403-nucleotide ribosomal RNA is filed under the name uncultured bacterium. RNAcentral describes it as "partial 16S ribosomal RNA". It matches the Rfam family "Bacterial small subunit ribosomal RNA", at positions 30 to 526 of the family's 1533-position model. The record is from RNAcentral.